ACACAUGCAGUCGAGCGCACCUUCGGGUGAGCGGCGGACGGGUUAGUAACGCGUGGGAACGUACCCAGAUCUAAGGAAUAGCCACUGGAAACGGUGAGUAAUACCUUAUACGCCCUUCGGGGGAAAGAUUUAUCGGAUUUGGAUCGGCCCGCGUUAGAUUAGGUAGUUGGUGGGGUAAUGGCCUACCAAGCCUACGAUCUAUAGCUGGUUUUAGAGGAUGAUCAGCAACACUGGGACUGAGACACGGCCCAGACUCCUACGGGAGGCAGCAGUGGGGAAUCUUAGACAAUGGGGGCAACCCUGAUCUAGCCAUGCCGCGUGAGUGAAGAAGGUCUUAGGAUCGUAAAGCUCUUUCGCCAGGGAUGAUAAUGACAGUACCUGGUAAAGAAACCCCGGCUAACUCCGUGCCAGCAGCCGCGGUAAUACGGAGGGGGUUAGCGUUGUUCGGAAUUACUGGGCGUAAAGCGCGCGUAGGCGGAUCAGAAAGUUGGGGGUGAAAUCCCAGGGCUCAACCCUGGAACUGCCUCCAAAACUCCUGGUCUUGAGUUCGAGAGAGGUGAGUGGAACUCCGAGUGUAGAGGUGAAAUUCGUAGAUAUUCGGAAGAACACCAGUGGCGAAGGCGGCUCACUGGCUCGAUACUGACGCUGAGGUGCGAAAGUGUGGGGAGCAAACAGGAUUAGAUACCCUGGUAGUCCACACCGUAAACGAUGAAUGCCAGUCGUCGGGUAGUAUACUAUUCGGUGACACACCUAACGGAUUAAGCAUUCCGCCUGGGGAGUACGGUCGCAAGAUUAAAACU
This 800-nucleotide ribosomal RNA is filed under the name Roseovarius sp. RNAcentral describes it as "bacterial SSU rRNA". It matches the Rfam family "Bacterial small subunit ribosomal RNA", at positions 51 to 901 of the family's 1533-position model. The record is from RNAcentral. Lineage: Bacteria; Pseudomonadati; Pseudomonadota; Alphaproteobacteria; Rhodobacterales; Roseobacteraceae.